CGUUGAUCUCGGAUUAGGUAGGAUUACCCGCUGAACUUAAGCAUAUCCAUAUGCGGAGGAAU
Molecule: ribosomal RNA, 62 nt
Filed under: Phyllachora sp.
Lineage: Eukaryota; Fungi; Ascomycota; Sordariomycetes; Phyllachorales; Phyllachoraceae
Description: partial 28S ribosomal RNA
Source: RNAcentral